This is a long non-coding RNA of Folsomia candida, 1446 nucleotides long. RefSeq lists it as uncharacterized. The transcript has 2 exons. The record is from RefSeq and is a predicted model, not a curated record. NCBI's taxonomy places the organism in Eukaryota, Metazoa, Arthropoda, Collembola, Entomobryomorpha, Isotomidae.
CAAUUCAAACCAUUACAAAAUGCAUCAAAAAUUUGCAGAACUUCAAUAUGCAGACACACACCACCACGAAACAAAACCACCUUCAAGCGACACACUGUUCACUGAUAGAUAAGUAUCAAUCUUUGACCAGCAGCAGUAACACCUUUCAGUUUGCUUAACUUCUUGUUCUUAAAUGAAACCUACACCACGAAUUGAUCUGUAUUUUAUUAUUACACAAAGCAACAACUACCACUAAACUUAUUCGCAAACAAGCAGACAUCAUCAUACAUAUGAAUAAACUCUUUUCCAUUCCAUUCUCUUGUCCUGCUAGACUAUAUUGUACACACUUUUUGGGCUGAGCUGAGCAGCAGUCAGUUGCUCACAGAGCCGACCGUACUAGUGGGUAAAGUAAAUGUAAAAAAGUAAUAACAAAAAGCAAGCAGGGCAAACCAAGCAAGCAAGCACCUCCACUUUCGUGAGAAACAAACAGCAACAUUUUAUCACAUUACACCAAAUGAGGAAACUCCUCUAAUCGAAAGAAAGUACCGUGUCGACUCACCUGGACCGAGGAGGGGACAAAAUACGGGAGUGGAGUGUGCCUGAGCUCGUCUCCUCCGCCCGAACUGACUCAACUCCUACCACUCGUGAGGCAAGAAGGAGGCAAGCCUGGAAAUCCGCUUCUUCUUCUCACAUUAUUUGUCUCUCGACGAAAGGAAGGAAUUGAAACCACCACUUUUCCCUGAUGUAAAUACAAACCAAGUUCGGAAAUGUACGUAUUGGUUUCUGGACUGGAGAGUGUAUAUCUAACUUGUCGGUGAGAAAACUUGCACCAAAACCAAGAAAUCGGACCGAUUUUGUUCAAGGAAUAAUAUGAUAUGACACUGCUGCUGCUGGACUGGAGGUCUGCUGAGCAGGAUGGAUGGUGUGAGUCUGGUGGGGAAAGUAAGACGGUGUUUUGGUGAGACAAACCGUUUUUUUUUUUGUGGAAUGGUUUUUCAAUUUGAGAAUAUUUUUGGGUAUAGUUGAUGGAUGAUUUAUGAAAAUGUGUUGGCUGGGUUGUCUUAUUUAUUCAAUUUUGAAUUUUAUAUAGCAUGAGGAACAUUACAAUUUACAAAACGAAGGGUACUACCCCCCUUAACAUUGAUUUGAUUAGGUUGUCCAAUGUAUAGGUAUUUAAUGUAGGGACGUGGAAAGUAAAUUGAACAAAGGAAGAAUUGGGACCUUAUUUCCUUUAUCAAUUCCAAAUCAAUCAACUGAUUUUGAUCAACUAAAUAUGUAUCGAUUUUCUAAUGAAUUUACUCUCAUUUCAGUCAGUACAAUCAAAAUAAGUUGUGGAUUAUAUAUUUAGGUAAUUAAAUCUUUCAUUCAUCCAUGUAUAAUAAUAUAUGAUUAAUUUGAUAAUAUAUGUACAAUACAAAGGUCUUUCUUGUAGAUUUAACUAUGUAUAUCGUCGUAUCAUCCGGAACU